UAAAACUUUCAACAACGGAUCUCUUGGUUCUGGCAUCGAUGAAGAACGCAGCGAAAUGCGAUAAGUAAUGUGAAUUGCAGAAUUCAGUGAAUCAUCGAAUCUUUGAACGCACAUUGCGCCCGGUAGUACUCUACCGGGCAUGCCUGUUCGAGCGUCAUUUCAACCCUCAAGCCCUGCUUGGUGUUGGGGCCCUACGGCUGCCGUAGGCCCUGAAAGGAAGUGGCGGGCUCGCUACAACUCCGAGCGUAGUAAUUCAUUAUCUCGCUAGGGAGGUGCGGCGUGCUCCUGCCGUUAAAGACCCCAUCUUUAACCAAGGUUGACCUCGGAUCAGGUAGGAAUACCCGCUGAACUUAAGCAUAUCAAUAAGCGGAGGAAAAGAAACCAACAGGGAUUGCCCUAGUAACGGCGAGUGAAGCGGCAACAGCUCAAAUUUGAAAUCUGGCUUCGGCCCGAGUUGUAAUUUGUAGAGGAUGCUUUUGGUGAGGUGCCUUCUGAGUUCCCUGGAACGGGACGCCAGAGAGGGUGAGAGCCCCGUAUAGUCGGCCACCGAUCCUCUGUAAAGCUCCUUCGACGAGUCGAGUAGUUUGGGAAUGCUGCUCAAAAUGGGAGGUAUAUCUCUUCUAAAGCUAAAUAUAGGCCAGAGACCGAUAGCGCACAAGUAGAGUGAUCGAAAGAUGAAAAGCACUUUGAAAAGAGGGUUAAAUAGCACGUGAAAUUGUUGAAAGGGAAGCGCUUGUGACCAGACUUGUGCCGGG
RNAcentral lists this ribosomal RNA (755 nucleotides) under Sordariomycetes sp. genotype 14. RNAcentral describes it as "eukaryotic LSU rRNA". The stretch from base 318 to 755 matches the Rfam family "Eukaryotic large subunit ribosomal RNA", at positions 1 to 444 of the family's 3401-position model. The record is from RNAcentral. Lineage: Eukaryota; Fungi; Ascomycota; Sordariomycetes.